This 1207-nucleotide non-coding RNA is filed under the name Squalius cephalus (European chub). RNAcentral describes it as "partial small subunit ribosomal RNA". The stretch from base 3 to 956 matches the Rfam family "Bacterial small subunit ribosomal RNA". Lineage: Eukaryota; Metazoa; Chordata; Actinopteri; Cypriniformes; Leuciscidae. The record is from RNAcentral.
GCAUGGUCCUGACCUUAUUAUUAGCUCUAACCCAACUUACACAUGCAGUCUCCGCAACCCCGUGAGUAUGCCCUUAAUCCCCUACCCGGGGACGAGGAGCGGGCAUCAGGCACAAAUUUUUAGCCCAAGACGCCUGGCCAAGCCACACCCCCAAGGGAAUUCAGCAGUGAUAAAUAUUAAGCCAUAAGUGAAAACUUGACUCAGUCAGGGUUAAGAGGGCCGGUAAAACUCGUGCCAGCCACCGCGGUUAAACGAGAGGCCCUAGUUAAUAAUACACGGCGUAAAGGGUGGUUAAGGGAAACAUAACAAUAAAGCCGAAUGGCCCUUUGGCUGUCAUACGCUUCUAGGUGUCCGAAGCCCAAUAUACGAAAGUAGCUUUAAUAAAGUCCACCUGACCCCACGAAAGCUGAGAAACAAACUGGGAUUAGAUACCCCACUAUGCUCAGCCAUAAACCUCGACGUCCAACUACAAUUAGACGUCCGCCCGGGUACUACGAGCAUUAGCUUGAAACCUAAAGGACCUGACGGUGCCUUAGACCCCCCUAGAGGAGCCUGUUCUAGAACCGAUAACCCCCGUUAAACCUCACCACUUCUAGCCACCCCAGCCUAUAUACCGCCGUCGUCAGCUUACCCUGUGAAGGCAAUAAAAGUAAGCAAAAUGGGCACAACCCAGAACGUCAGGUCGAGGUGUAGCGUACGAAGCGGGAAGAAAUGGGCUACAUUUUCUACUAACAGAACACUACGGACAUGCAACAUGAAAUAGUGCUUGAAGGAGGAUUUAGUAGUAAAAAGGAAGCAGAGUGUCCUUUUGAACCCGGCUCUGAGGCGCGUACACACCGCCCGUCACUCUCCCCUGUCAAAAUGCAAUAAAGUUACCUAACACCAAAGCGCUGACAAGGGGAGGCAAGUCGUAACAUGGUAAGUGUACCGGAAGGUGCACUUGGAUUAAAUUCAGGGCGUGGCUGAGUCAGUCAAGCAUCUCACUUACACCGAGAAGACAUCCAUGCAAAUUGGGUCGCCCUGAGCCAACCAGCUAGCUUAAUUAUUUAUAUAAUUUUACAAUAUUUAUAACAAAACAUGGCCUAACACCAUAAACUAAACCAUUUUUUUACCUAAGUACGGGAGACGGAAAAGGUUCAGCCCUAAAGCAAUAGAAAAAGUACCGCAAGGGAAAGCUGAAAGAGAACUGAAAUAACCCAUAUAAGCA